UUGAGUUUCUACCCCAUUCUUACUGGACUUUUUUCAAUCCUUUAAUUUUUUAGUUUUUUUCCAGUCAAAGUUUUUAGUUGCAUGAAAUAGAAACUAACUCUGCCUGAUUUAAGUAGGAAAAGAAUUUGCUGAGAGGCUACUGAGUAGCUCACAAAAUCAUGGAGCAGCAGGUUCAGAAAUAGUAUUUUUGAGCAGUGGCUCCGAAGGCACCGUCCUCUUCAAGAAGUUUAUCCAGAAGCCAAUGCACCCAUUGGACAUAACCGGGAAUCCUACAUGGUUCCUUUUAUACCACUGUACAGAAAUGGUGAUUUCUUUAUUUCAUCCAAAGAUCUGGGCUAUGACUAUAGCUAUCUACAAGAUUCAGACCCAGACUCUUUUCAAGACUACAUUAAGUCCUAUUUGGAACAAGCAAGUCGGAUCUGGUCAUGGCUCCUUGGGGCGGCGAUGGUAGGGGCCGUCCUCACUGCCCUGCUGGCAGGGCUUGUGAGCUUGCUGUGUCGUCACAAGAGAAAGCAGCUUCCUGAAGAAAA
RNAcentral lists this small RNA (530 nucleotides) under Pan troglodytes (chimpanzee). RNAcentral describes it as "processed transcript". Lineage: Eukaryota; Metazoa; Chordata; Mammalia; Primates; Hominidae. The record is from RNAcentral.